Transfer RNA from Methylobacterium sp. Leaf104, 74 nucleotides. It matches the Rfam family "tRNA". Rfam says of the family: Transfer RNA (tRNA) molecules are approximately 80 nucleotides in length. Their secondary structure includes four short double-helical elements and three loops (D, anti-codon, and T loops). Further hydrogen bonds mediate the characteristic L-shaped molecular structure. tRNAs have two regions of fundamental functional importance: the anti-codon, which is responsible for specific mRNA codon recognition, and the 3' end, to which the tRNAs corresponding amino acid is attached (by aminoacyl-tRNA synthetases). tRNAs cope with the degeneracy of the genetic code in two manners: having more than one tRNA (with a specific anti-codon) for a particular amino acid; and 'wobble' base-pairing, i.e. permitting non-standard base-pairing at the 3rd anti-codon position. NCBI's taxonomy places the organism in Bacteria, Pseudomonadati, Pseudomonadota, Alphaproteobacteria, Hyphomicrobiales, Methylobacteriaceae. The record is from Rfam.
CGGGGUGUAGCGCAGUCUGGUAGCGCAUCUGGUUUGGGACCAGAGGGUCGUAGGUUCGAAUCCUAUCGCCCCGA